UCCUCUCCUCUUCUCUCCUCUUCUCUCCUCUCCUCUUCUCUCCUCUCUCUCCUCUUCUCUCCUCUCCUCUCUCUGAAGUCUGGCUACAAACUUCAACUCCGCCCACCCGGCGCACCGGUUGUUGGAAAUUAAUUUAAAAUACUCAGCUGCCAGCCUUUUUUCCAGCGUUCGUCACUGGUGUGAGAAUUGGUUUGGCAGAGUGAGACCGUGAGAUGGAAGGUGAAUGCGUGUGUUUAACGCCAGAUGUGUGAGAGUUGGCAACCCUGGAUUCAGUCAGGGACUGUUCAUUAGUUUUAAGCCUGGGAGGAGCGUAGGUUUUUAAUUUGGGCUGAGGGGCGGGGCUUAAAGGUUUAAAUGUUCACAGAUGGUCUCCUGCAGACCUUGGUUGUAACGCUUGGUUAUUUCAGUUGUUGUUGCCUUUCCAUAAUCGUGAACCAAUCAGACUGUCUUCCUCUGACCUCGUCACCAUGGUGUUUUGGCUCCCUGGGUAUUUCCUGUCUGUCAGACCGCCCUCCUGUAGAACAGAGUAACCGAAUCAUAUUUCUGUUUUCAGAGAGUGUGCUCUGCUGCCUGUGAUGUUAUGGUGAUGUCAUCAUCGGUGAAGCAGCGGUACCGUGACAUCAGUCCUGUGACUCUGCAGGUGGUGGGCGGGGCCAUGAGCUCCAGUCUGUACUGUGGGGAGGUGGAGGGUCUGUCUGGGGGGCUGGUGGAGUCUUUCCUGGUGGAAUUUUAUCGCUGUAAACUCUGUCAGUUCACCUGCGGCCUCAAAGCCACCAUCAGCAGCCACCUGCUGCUCAGGCACCGGCCCCCCACCCUCACAUACCUGGGGGGUGCUGAUGGAGGGGGCGGGGCUGAGGACCGAGAGGAGGCGGGGCUCCAGCGGGGGGUGUCACCCUAUCAGCUGGAUCUGAACGGAGAAUCGAAGCAGAGUGACGAGGACGAGGAGUUUCUGCUCUACAACAUGCUGGACAACAUGAGCCCACCCACCUGUGAGAUCAGCAGCGAGGGGGGGCUGCAGGUCGCACACACCUGUGAGGUCAGCACUCUGUUCGAGGAGGAAUCUUCCAUCUUUCCUCUGAAGGGAGGGUCAGGGGAUCUGUCCUGUCCCAUCGCCCCCCCUGCCACCCAGGAGGAGAUGGCGCAGUCCGCUCAUCUCAUGACUCUGGGACUGUGUCGCAAAUCAGCUGCCAAAGCUCCUCCUCCUCCUCCUGCCCCUCCCACCUCCUCCCGCCCCAUCCACGCUCCGCUUGAUGACUCCGCCCACCUGUCGCAGCCUAGCAAUGUGAAGCAGAGCGAGACAGACGGCCAGCAGACGAAGACUUCCUCCUGUGGCAAACGGAAGCUGUCGUGUCUCCUGUGUCCUCUGACGCUGCCGUCCAGGCGGCUCCUGGACGUUCAUAUCCGGUCUCACCGGAUGGCCAGUGGGUUCAGCUGCAUCCUCUGCAGCUGGACAGUUGACAGCUGGGAGGAGCUGGAGCCUCACUGGAGGAGCCACUGCAGCAGGAGGAGGAGGGAGGAGCAGAGACAGAAGAAGAAGAAGGUGGCGUUGAGGCCGUUCAGUUGUCCCAUCUGUCUGAGGACGUUCAGGAGUGCUGCCUCAGGAAACGCUCACCGACAAACACAUGAUGGCUCCAGUCAGCGUCACCAUGGCAACCAUUCAGACCUGUGGAGGGGCCGGCUGGUUGGACGAGCAGGACAGAAGGCAGCGGAGCAUGCAGACAGUCAGAGCAGCAGAGGUCAGACGGACUCUCUGCAGAACGUCACACAGAACAAAAAGAGGAAGAGAACGAGAAGAAGCACAGAAGAAGAGAAGGACGCCACAGACACAGACUUCUGUUGCUCUCUGUGCCACAGCUCAACCAGGUGUGUUUCAGGUGUGUUACCUGUUACAGGGCUGUGGUUGGUCACUUCUUUCUGUCCACAGGAAGUUCUCCACCAAACUGACGCUGAGACGCCACCUGGGAAUCCACAGAGGAGACAAACCGUACACCUGUCCUCACUGCUCCUACUGCAGCCGCCUGAAGGCCUCGCUGCUGCAACACUUGAGGACACACACAGGUGAGAAGCCGUACAGGUGUGCUGAGUGUCCGUAUGCUUCUAUAGAUCGCAGCUCUCUGCUCCGACACAUCAGGACUCACAGUCAGGAGAAACCCUACAGGUGUCAACUCUGUGACUACAGCAGUAUCCAGAAGAAG
Epinephelus fuscoguttatus (brown-marbled grouper) is the source of this 2195-nucleotide RNA transcript. It is a transcript of the gene named zinc finger and SCAN domain-containing protein 2, with no coding region annotated. Lineage: Eukaryota; Metazoa; Chordata; Actinopteri; Perciformes; Serranidae. The record is from RefSeq and is a predicted model, not a curated record. The transcript has 7 exons.